Long non-coding RNA from Sinocyclocheilus anshuiensis, 317 nucleotides. RefSeq lists it as uncharacterized. The record is from RefSeq and is a predicted model, not a curated record. The transcript is spliced from 4 exons. Lineage: Eukaryota; Metazoa; Chordata; Actinopteri; Cypriniformes; Cyprinidae.
GGUGACGAUGAAGACGGUGACCGUCUAGUGUAUGCAAGUCCUGGAGAAAUUCCUAAAGCAAGUCCUGGAUCAGAUAAAUCCACAGGAGAUAAUGAAGGUGGAACAUUGGUAAUCAUCAUAGCUGCCGUUAGCGUCAUAGUUCUGGCUAUUGGAGGUAUUGUAGCUAUUGUCCUCCUCAGACGCUACUUGCAAAGCCGAGAACAGGGGUAAGACUGAUUUAGCUUUGCUUGCAAGCAAUUUCAAAUGACCUAUGUGCCAGAUAAACAUAUUUUCAAGAAAUGUUAUUAAAGACUCAAAGCAUGCUGGGUUGAAUAUAG